CAGGAGGGGUCCCCUCUGAAGCAACUUAAUGUUUUCAUUCUGUCAAUUUUAGUAUUUUGCCACGCAGUCUUUGUGGACAUCAUAUCAUACACUUAUGCAGAGUCUCGACACGCAGUAUCUAGCCAUGAGUUGUUCACCUGCUGUUUCUACCGGUGUGGAGUAGUAUAAAAAGUAAAAGUACAGACAACUCACAGAUAAUUUGCUUCACUUGAAUUUAUUUUGGAAACUUUGGCCCUGCCUCUCCCAUUGUGAAAUAUGUUUACUACUACAUCAGCACGGUAAAGAUAAGAAUUUUUAUUUUCACACCAUUAUUUAAUAACCAAUGAAAGGGUUUGCCUCCUAAUUUUGGACUUACAAGCUGUUUAGUAACAAAGCAUUUUUUCUACUUUAAAAAUUGUUGGAAUAUUACAUUGUACAAAAUGAACAAUUCUUCAUUUAUGACUAUAUAUUAAGUUGUUGACCCUUAUCUUGAUCAAUCUCUGUCUCGCUGUGGCUAAUGAAAAUAUUACCCCAAUUUCUUUUUCACAGAGGUCUAGUCCCCAAGAGGAACAGCAGUGUCUUCAAGAA
Molecule: long non-coding RNA, 567 nt
Filed under: Octopus vulgaris (common octopus)
Lineage: Eukaryota; Metazoa; Mollusca; Cephalopoda; Octopoda; Octopodidae
Source: RNAcentral